GGUGACUAGUGACAGAGUGAGGGAGUGACUGGUGACAGAGGAAGGUAGUGACUAGUGACAGAGUGAGGGAGGGGGUGACCCCAUCCCUCUCUCUGUCACUAGUCACGCCCUCUCUAACUCUGUCACUGUGUCACCCACUCCCUCACUCUGUCACUAGUCACCCCAUCCCUCUCUCUGUCACUAGUCACUCCCUCCCUAACUCUGUCACUGUGUCACCCACUCCCUCACUCUGUCACUAGUCACCC
Pelobates cultripes (western spadefoot toad) is the source of this 245-nucleotide non-coding RNA. The record is from the annotation of a GenBank genome assembly. Lineage: Eukaryota; Metazoa; Chordata; Amphibia; Anura; Pelobatidae.